RNAcentral lists this ribosomal RNA (253 nucleotides) under uncultured bacterium. Its description in RNAcentral is "partial 16S ribosomal RNA". It matches the Rfam family "Bacterial small subunit ribosomal RNA", at positions 524 to 776 of the family's 1533-position model. The record is from RNAcentral.
UACGAAGGGGGCGAGCGUUGUUCGGAUUUACUGGGCGUAAAGCGUGCGCAGGCGGUUUUGUAAGCCAGAUGUGAAAUCCCCGGGCUUAACCUGGGAAUGGCAUUUGGGACUGCAAGGCUGGAGUGUGGCAGAGGAGACUGGAAUUCCUGGUGUAGCAGUGAAAUGCGUAGAUAUCAGGAGGAAUACCGAUGGCGAAGGCAGGUCUCUGGGCUGACACUGACGCUCAUGCACGAAAGCGUGGGGAGCAAACAGG